This 690-nucleotide ribosomal RNA is filed under the name Psychrobacter sp. Y4_255_1. RNAcentral's name for it is "bacterial SSU rRNA". It matches the Rfam family "Bacterial small subunit ribosomal RNA", at positions 66 to 749 of the family's 1533-position model. The record is from RNAcentral. Lineage: Bacteria; Pseudomonadati; Pseudomonadota; Gammaproteobacteria; Moraxellales; Moraxellaceae.
GCGGUAACAUUUCUAGCUUGCUAGAAGAUGACGAGCGGCGGACGGGUGAGUAAUACUUAGGAAUCUACCUAGUAGUGGGGGAUAGCUCGGGGAAACUCGAAUUAAUACCGCAUACGACCUACGGGAGAAAGGGGGCAACUUGUUGCUCUCGCUAUUAGAUGAGCCUAAGUCGGAUUAGCUAGAUGGUGGGGUAAAGGCCUACCAUGGCGACGAUCUGUAGCUGGUCUGAGAGGAUGAUCAGCCACACCGGGACUGAGACACGGCCCGGACUCCUACGGGAGGCAGCAGUGGGGAAUAUUGGACAAUGGGGGAAACCCUGAUCCAGCCAUGCCGCGUGUGUGAAGAAGGCCUUUUGGUUGUAAAGCACUUUAAGCAGUGAAGAAGACUCUUCGGUUAAUACCCGGAGACGAUGACAUUAGCUGCAGAAUAAGCACCGGCUAACUCUGUGCCAGCAGCCGCGGUAAUACAGAGGGUGCAAGCGUUAAUCGGAAUUACUGGGCGUAAAGCGAGCGUAGGUGGCUUGAUAAGUCAGAUGUGAAAUCCCCGGGCUUAACCUGGGAACUGCAUCUGAUACUGUCAGGCUAGAGUAGGUGAGAGGAAGGUAGAAUUCCAGGUGUAGCGGUGAAAUGCGUAGAGAUCUGGAGGAAUACCGAUGGCGAAGGCAGCCUUCUGGCAUCAUACUGACACUGA